This 1583-nucleotide long non-coding RNA is filed under the name Cyanistes caeruleus (blue tit). RNAcentral's name for it is "lncRNA (ENSCCEG00000021215.1)". Lineage: Eukaryota; Metazoa; Chordata; Aves; Passeriformes; Paridae. The record is from RNAcentral.
GUUAAUAUAUUUUAAUGCAUAAUAUAUUGUGUGGUGUAUAUAAAUUAAUAUGGUAUAUAAAUUUAAACAUUAAUAUGGUAAAAAUAGAUGUUACGUUUUUUUUUUUUUUUAAAUUUUCAUAUUUUUGGCAUUUUUCUUGGAGGCAGUCCUCCCAUUGCAGCUGCUUACAGCACUGAAAAUCUGUGUGCUUUGUGGUGUGUAUUAUCCAGCUGACAGUGAUUCAGUUGUGUUUGGUGCAUUAAAUCCCACAGAGCUGGGUGGGAUAGCAGGCGGCCAUAUUGCCUGACUCUUUUAGCUUUUCUGGCUCACACAGAACUUCCUUUCCCUUUUUUUUAUGGAAAACAGAGAAGAGAUAGUAGUAAUAUUAGCAUUUCUAGCAGAUUUUUAACUGCCACUGAUGCUUGUUCAUAGUUUUGCGGUGUGGGUUUUCAUGCUAACAAAUACUCUGCUUUGCCUUCUGCUCAGAGUCAGGUGGGGCCUUUAUUGAACAGAUUUAUGUGCUACAAGGCUAUGCAGAAGGAUAGAAAGAAGGAAAGUGAAAAAAAAAAAAUUGAUAAAAGGCCAUUCACUGAUUUGCUGAUGUACUCCAGAGACAAACAUAGCUACUACAGGGGCUGGUUCUGGGGUAACGAGGAAACAAAAGGCCUAAAUGCCUCUUGCUUGUCUGUCUAAGGAUCUGCCUCUGUUGUGGCUCCCAUCCUUCUGAAGAACACUUAAGCACAGUGAGUUGCCUUGUAUAACUAUUUAUUGUUGUAUUAUUGUUGUCAAACCCCAUUGCUGGCAGAGAGAAUUUAAAGGCUGUAUCCCAUUGUUGAGUUACUUCAUUACUGUAUUUUUAUACUCUGUUAAAAUUAUUACAAAAGGGAUUUAGAGCAAAUAGCCUUGAGCACCUUUUUAUUCCCUCUCAGGCAGCUUUUGUGACUUCUACCUCCAAGGUAUCAUCAAAUAUCCCCGAGAUCAUGCAGUGGAAGAGAUGGUGAACUGUUCCAUAUUCUACUUUGCACCACGUGAUUUUACAUCUCUGGCAUACUCCCCCUCAGUAGUCUCCUCUGCACUGGCUCCAUUGGCUGUUCUCCAUGUAAAAGCCAUUCCAUACCUUUGGCUGUCACCAUUACCAUUGUCUGAACCUUUGUAGUUCAGCAGAAUCCUGCAGGCUAAGUGUGGGUAAACCUGUUACAUUGUAGUACAAAUUACAUGUUCUGUCACCUGCUGUCUUCUUUCUCUGCUAAUUCUUGAGACACAGGUUCCUUAUUUUGACCUCUGGGUGCUGUCUUGAUAUUUGCAUCAAACUGUCCUCAUUCCUGACCAUCAAGACCUUAAGUUACUAGAUGAAGCCAGGUUUUGGUUAAUUUUUUUUUUUUUUUUACUACACUCACUCCUAUGUUAGAUUUCAUGUUCCACUUCAUUGGCCAGUGAGCAGACUUCCCUAAUUCUUCAUAGUUGGCUGUUUUGAGUAAUUUAAAAUAAUUAAGCUGUGUCAUCUGAUUUCAUGCCCUUCUGUAGGUUGUUUAGGCAUAUGGUGAAAAGAACUUCUACUUGUGACCUCCCUCUGUGUUGGGGAAGAUGAAACAGGAAAACUGUCG